RNAcentral lists this ribosomal RNA (253 nucleotides) under uncultured bacterium. RNAcentral describes it as "partial 16S ribosomal RNA". It matches the Rfam family "Bacterial small subunit ribosomal RNA", at positions 524 to 776 of the family's 1533-position model. The record is from RNAcentral.
UACGAAGGGGGCUAGCGUUGCUCGGAAUCACUGGGCGUAAAGCGCACGUAGGCGGCUUCUCAAGUCAGGGGUGAAAUCCUGGAGCUCAACUCCAGAACUGCCUUUGAUACUGAGGGGCUCGAGUCCGGGAGAGGUGAGUGGAACUGCGAGUGUAGAGGUGAAAUUCGUAGAUAUUCGCAAGAACACCAGUGGCGAAGGCGGCUCACUGGCCCGGUACUGACGCUGAGGUGCGAAAGCCAGGGGAGCAAACGGG